GCUCCAGUGGCGCAGUUGGUUAGCGCAUGGUACUUAUAUGACAGUAUUCAUGAUCAUUACCUGAAUCGAAUAAGGGAUGCCGAAGUCGCGAGUUCGAGCCUCGCCUGGAGCA
Molecule: transfer RNA, 112 nt
Organism: Daphnia magna
Lineage: Eukaryota; Metazoa; Arthropoda; Branchiopoda; Diplostraca; Daphniidae
Rfam family: tRNA
About the family: Transfer RNA (tRNA) molecules are approximately 80 nucleotides in length.
Source: Rfam